Molecule: non-coding RNA, 82 nt
Organism: Platichthys flesus (European flounder)
Lineage: Eukaryota; Metazoa; Chordata; Actinopteri; Pleuronectiformes; Pleuronectidae
Source: the annotation of a RefSeq genome assembly
GUUGUUGUGGCCGAGUGGUUAAGGCGAUGGACUUGAAAUCCUUUGGGGUUUCCCUGUGCAGGUUUAAACCCUGCCAACAACG